ACUUCAUAAUAUUCACUUAAAUCCAUAAAAUACUAUAUUUGGCACUGACAGGAUGGAGAGAAAUUAGGGUCCUAUAUCUCUAUUCUUUAAUUCCAAUAAGAUUCCGUGAUACCAAACCCCCAGGAAAACUUGAAGGCAGAAGGCAGAUCUGGGGACCUGUCAGUUUCUGCAGGAGAGGAGACUCAUCUCACAGCCUGAGACAGAGCUGCCAUCCCACUAACCUGGCUGUGUUACCACGCCUCUCAGGGAAAUGAGUUGAGGGA
Molecule: long non-coding RNA, 263 nt
Filed under: Bos taurus (domestic cattle)
Lineage: Eukaryota; Metazoa; Chordata; Mammalia; Artiodactyla; Bovidae
Description: long non-coding RNA NONBTAT016865
Source: RNAcentral